This 279-nucleotide ribosomal RNA is filed under the name uncultured bacterium. RNAcentral's name for it is "partial 16S ribosomal RNA". It matches the Rfam family "Bacterial small subunit ribosomal RNA", at positions 506 to 784 of the family's 1533-position model. The record is from RNAcentral.
UGCCAGCCGCCGCGGUAAUACGUACUGGGCGAACGUUAUUCGGAAUUACUGGGCAUAAAGCGCACGUAGGCGGCGCGUCAAGUGCAUGGUGAAAGCCCACGGCUUACCCGUGGAACUGCUGUGCAUACUGGCGUGCUCGAGGACGGUAGGGGAGAGCGGAACUCUUGGUGGAGCGGUGAAAUGCGUAGAUAUCAAGAGGAACACCAAAGGCGAAGGCAGCUCUCUGGUCCGUUUCUGACGCUGAGGUGCGAAAGCCAGGGUAGCGAACGGGAUUAGAUA